This is a long non-coding RNA of Jaculus jaculus (lesser Egyptian jerboa), 1051 nucleotides long. RefSeq lists it as uncharacterized. The record is from RefSeq and is a predicted model, not a curated record. The transcript has 3 exons. NCBI's taxonomy places the organism in Eukaryota, Metazoa, Chordata, Mammalia, Rodentia, Dipodidae.
AGCCAGGAGCUGCAGGAGAACGGCAAGAACAGAGAACAGAGGCUGGGCCAGAACCCGAAUCCAAGGCAAGAGAUCCAGAAAAGAGCAGCUCAAGAGGCCAGAAACAGCAGAGAAGAUGGGGAAACUCAAACCUGCCUGAAACUGCAAGAGAAAAGCAGAAAAGACAGACCCCCCCCACUCCAAAAGACAAGAACCCGGACAGACACAGACACACCUGCUGCAUGUGGCUCCUGAGCCAGACAGAACCCGUGGAGGAAAAGAGAGCCCCAGGUCCCAAGGCAGGCAGCCCAUCCCCAACAGCAUGGCAGGGCCUCAUGCCAAGCCCUGCAGGAAGUCCAACAGCCCUCUAUGCCACUCCUCGGGUUUGUCCAGAUGGGAGCCACUGGAACAUAGCCCCGGAGCUGGGAGCCAGGCAUCGUGAGGAAGGGCAGGGAAUACAUGCCACUUAAUGAUGGACUGAUCACUACUGGGGAGCCCAACUCCAAGGCAUCCACCACAGUUGCCAAGAAGCUGCCAGGGACCAGUUCCCCAACAGGAGCAGGGGCUGCUGCUUCCUUGGAGCGCCCAAGACCUGUAAGGAUUUAGGUGAGGAGCAACAAGGGCCGUGAGUAGUUAAACAAGGGUUCCAGGAAGCCCUCCUAGGUCAGUUUCUCUGUGCCCAGGUUCCAAUAGUAUCCUGCAAAGAAUUGAGCUCUGGGGCUGGUGAGAGGGCUCAGAGGGCACUUGCCUAUGCCUAAGGACCUAGGUUUGAUUCCAUGGUACCCACAAAAAGCCAGAUACACAAGGUGGUGCAUGUGUCAAGUUCAUUUGCAGUGGCUGGAAGCCCUGGCAUGCCCAUUCAUUUCUUUUCUCUCUCUAUAUCACACAUGCACAAAUAAAUGAAUAAUUAUUAAAGCAAAAAAGAAUUGAGCUCUGAAGUCUUAAUAGGUCUAGAUCUAAGUCCCAACUCUCCAUUUACUGUUAUUUGAUAUUGUUAUUAAAAAUUCAAGUUUCCUUUCUUUCCCUCUUUCUUUCUUUCUAUUUUUAACAGCUAUGACCUUAGGUAAGUCCC